GAAAGAGUACUGAACCACUAGAACAAGCUUCAGGAUCACCAACGCACUCUUUUAUGUGAGACUUGGAUUGCUAGAAAUGGUACUAGGGUCAAAGAUGUCGGAGGCCAGUGCAGAGUGAUACCAGUGUUCACUUGUCGUACACGGAUGAAGGUGGCGGUCGAUGGAGCCUUCCUUUCACUGAAUCAAGAUAUCCACUGAGGCCCUCCC
RNAcentral lists this long non-coding RNA (207 nucleotides) under Musa acuminata (dwarf banana). RNAcentral's name for it is "long non-coding RNA (MACU_LNC010471)". The record is from RNAcentral. Lineage: Eukaryota; Viridiplantae; Streptophyta; Magnoliopsida; Zingiberales; Musaceae.